This 258-nucleotide ribosomal RNA is filed under the name Clostridioides difficile. RNAcentral describes it as "partial 23S ribosomal RNA". It matches the Rfam family "Bacterial large subunit ribosomal RNA", at positions 1827 to 2084 of the family's 2925-position model. Lineage: Bacteria; Bacillati; Bacillota; Clostridia; Peptostreptococcales; Peptostreptococcaceae. The record is from RNAcentral.
UAAGUCGCAAGACGAUGUAUAGGAGCUGACGCCUGCCCGGUGCUGGAAGGUUAAGGGGAUCUGUUAGAGCAAUCGAAGCAGUGAACUUAAGCCCCAGUAAACGGCGGCCGUAACUAUAACGGUCCUAAGGUAGCGAAAUUCCUUGUCGGGUAAGUUCCGCCCCGCACGAAAGGCGUAACGAUUUGGGCACUGUCUCAACAACAGACUCGGUGAAAUUGUAAUUCCGGUGAAGAUGCCGGAUACCUGCGACAGGACGGA